Molecule: ribosomal RNA, 458 nt
Filed under: uncultured bacterium
Lineage: Bacteria
Description: partial 16S ribosomal RNA
Rfam family: Bacterial small subunit ribosomal RNA
Source: RNAcentral
CCUACGGGCGGCAGCAGUGAGGAAUAUUGGUCAAUGGGCGAGAGCCUGAACCAGCCAAGUCGCGUGAGGGAGUACUGCCCUAUGGGUUGUAAACCUCUUUUGUCGGGGAGCAAAAGCCGGACGUGUCCGGCUGUGAGAGUACCCGAAGAAAAAGCAUCGGCUAACUCCGGUCCAGCAGCCGCGGUAAUACGGAGGAUGCGAGCGUUAUCCGGAUUUAUUGGGUUUAAAGGGUGCGCAGGCGGAUUUUUAAGUCAGCGGUAAAAUCGUGGGGCUCAACCCCAUCCAGCCGUUGAAACUGGGGAUCUAGAGUGUGCGAGAGGUAUGCGGAAUGCGUGGUGUAGCGGUGAAAUGCAUAGAUAUCACGCAGAACCCCGAUUGCGAAGGCAGCAUACCGGUGCACAACUGACGCUCAGGCACGAAAGCGUGGGUAUCGAACAGGAUUAGAUACCCUAGUAGUC